RNAcentral lists this long non-coding RNA (12210 nucleotides) under Brassica rapa (field mustard). Its description in RNAcentral is "long non-coding RNA (BRAP_LNC007704)". Lineage: Eukaryota; Viridiplantae; Streptophyta; Magnoliopsida; Brassicales; Brassicaceae. The record is from RNAcentral.
GAAAAUGUAAAUUAAUAACACUGGAAAUAGUGUACAGCCAAAACAAUCACAGAUCAAAGGACCAAAGUGGUUAAAAAUCAGACACAAAACUCUUAUUCUCUCACAUUUUAAUGGUUACACUUUUCUUCUAGUUAAAUAGUGUUCCUGGGUCUUCAAUUUGGGAGCUGUUCGAGAAAGACAUUACAGUUGUGCAUGGUUCUGGCGUCAAGAAGGCCAUGGUUCCACAGUUUAACCAUAAACAUUCUCCAACACCUACACAAGUUCUCACCUUUAUCAACAACAACAACAGAAAAAAAACAUUUUCUUCUAUGAAACACUUGUCAAACCAAGCCAUGCAGGAAAUGAGAGUUGAAUUACCAGAUCAAAUGCGGUAUUCGAACCAUGAUGGAGCCGUGCAAUCUUGAAAACGCUUCACAUGCCCAUGGAAUGUGACCAUCUGCUAAUACUCUGCAAAGGGUCAAAAUCUAGUGUCAAGGUAAUGCUAAUCCUGAGAUAAUCUUUUAUCAGUGUUCUUUUUCUCUUUUUUUUAUCAAAAUAACUCGUGCAAUAAGACACUAUUACACAUGUUAUCCACAAACUAUUUACGCAUGUUACGCUAAAUUUGUUUACAGUAAGACUCGACAUAUAUCUACUGAAAAGAGAUAAGACAUACCGCUGCUUCCUCACAAACGAGUUCCACAUAUGCAUCAUCUGCUUCUCAUCCUUGGUCACAUCAAUGAAAUCGUCAAGCAUCUGAAAGAAAGUAAAGUUUCAAAUAGUAAAAAGAAGAAAAACGGUAUACUGUAAACUAUUGUCAGAAGAUGGAACCGACAACCAAACAGAGACGUCAUUUCUAGAAAAGAAUGUUAGCAUAUUCUGGUUCGGACCAUGAGGUUUGCUCACAUAUUUUGUUAAUGAAUCUCUACCAUACUAUAUAACAACAAUUUUCCUACGAAGUUCGGUAGUUUGGUAGAUAUAUGCUUCUUGUGAAAAGGGAAAGGAAUAUGGAAGACUAGCUGCAUAGGCAUCCCAACUCCCAGUUAAACGUAAGUACGCUAAUGUGGUUAAGUUCUAAAACAUUACCCUUCUAUCUUCAAAAUCUGCCACAUCAUCAUCAACUUCAUCUUCACUAUCUCUGUCAGAAAGUACUUGUUCUAGAGCCAUGGGCUGCGAUAGCACACACAGUAGAAAUCAAAAUCAGUUGCGAUCUUCAUAAGCAAGAGAGAUAAAAGUAGAAAUAGAUCGAUCACCUGAGCUCGAUGAGAGUGAAAGAACUCUCUCUUCUGAAGGAGGCUACGGCUGGAGGAGAUUAAAAACAAUUGAAAAAUUCAGCCACAUAAUUUGGGAUGAGCAAGCUACUAGUAUUAGUAGUAAUAUAACUAGGACAGAAAAUCAAACAUACUUCCUCAAUUCCGACCGUUCAAUAGAUAGCUUCCUCGUUUUUGCAAAUUGCAACAUCGUACUUCCAACCAUCGACUGCACAGAAUCUGGAUCAACACAUGAUUGCACGUCUGCAGGACUCGUGCCAGGAGGAACUCUUUGACCAGAAGACUCAGCAACCCCAAUUCUUUCGCAAUGCUUUCCAGGAGCUAUUCGGUUCUUCUCACAUCUAACCGAAUGAGCAUCUGAAAAUAAACAUUAAAACAGACAGGCUUUCAUGGUAUGAUGGAGAAAGAAGCCAGUGAACAUUUUAACAAAACAGUGAUUAUCUUUUAUCUAAUAUAAUAGUUACAUUACAUAUUAAUCUCAAAGUUUAUAAGAAAAAAUGAAUAACCAUACAUGUUGCAUAUUGUGCUUUAACAUGAAUUUGUUAGCAGAAGCUUUAAACCCAAUAUAAAAAUUCGGAGACGGAGAAAUCGUAAACCAAAAAAGAAGCACAAUCAUCUGAAAAGUAAAACUUAUUGCCAAAAUACAUUAAAAAGGUAGAAUGCAGCAAAACAUAUCAGAAAGCAAAAGAGUUAAAAGACACAGACACUCUAUAAUUAUUUAUUUUAGAUAAGAAACUAAAUUACAGAACAAAAUGAAGAAGAAAUCAUAAAAUUUUGUUCACCAACUCUUCUUCAUCUGCCUCUUGAAGCCAAUUCACAAAUGGAUUUAGGCUUUUGACAAUGGUUUGCCUGCAACAUCCACCAAGAGAAAAAUAAACAUCCGAUUAAUGCAGGUCUGGAUAACUGUUGUUUAGAAACCAGCUUUAUAUAUGAUGUGUAUUAUAUAGUGUUAUGGAACUAACAUGCCCUUUGCGUUGUUUCCUUUAUGGAACAAGUUGAGGAUGGUGGCUUAAGCGAGGACAUCAAGUUCAUAUAGUGACCUCCUCUCAUAAGCUUUGCAUCCUCGAAGAACUGCAUUUGGACUUUGUACAUUAGCUCCAGAAUUCCUCUACGGAACACGUUCAGAAGUGGUGUCCACGUUUUAACAGGCUUGAAGCCGUAGAAGAACAUCUGCAACAGUUAGAAACUAUUUUGCCUCGUUUGCAUACCAAAAAGGCAAACAUUUUCUUAUAAUCAUAAAGAACUGAUUCUUUUUUAGGAAGGGAAGAGAGAUUACAUAUAAGACAUCACCAAGUUUGGCAACUUGGGAGGCAAAGCAGACACUUAAUGGCUCUAAUUCUGUUAAAGAUAAUCUGCAUAAUCAGUGAAAGCGUCUUUUAGAAAUCCGAAGAACCCUGAAACAAAUUGUGGAGAAAGAAAAGCUGAAGAAAGCAUUUAUUUUUUCAGAGAACUCCAAAGACAUUGUUGAAAUCACUCACUGUUGCAAUAGCGGAAUGGUAAAUAUGCACACAAACAAUCCCAGAUUUUGGGGUUAAAUAAUCGAAGAGGCAGAUGCAAAAAUAGUUUUAGUAUGUUCCUCCAGUAUGAGUUCAUCAAAUCAUAAACAUCUGUAACUCACCUAAUCACUGAAACCAAAAUCACCGAUCUUCCACAUAUUCCAUGUUAUGGAAACCUAACUAUCAUAUGCUUUCAGUAUGACUUUCCAUUGACCACCAAGAUAUCAUCAUCCCCAAGAUCAAACGUCCUCAUCGCAUCCUUAGAUGCGGAUAACAAAGAAACACGUGUGUUCAUCGGCAUCCGAUGAGUUUGAGAAUGGAAAACCUGAUAAUCAACAAAGAUCAUGUCGACACCCAUCAACUCUCCACUUUUAAUGUUUCUGGCUUCCCAGAACCGGAGCAGCUCCACCUCCAUGGUGGAAGAACAACGUUUCUAUUGCUAUUGGAACUGUGAGGAUGGUUCUCAAAAGAUGAGGUCUUACAUUUUUAUAGGUGUAGAUACACAGCUUGAAGAUGAUAAGAAUCAUUAAAUGAGGGAUCGUUAAUGGCAUUGAAUCAAUGUAGGUUGUAACACCAGUGAGGAGAUGAAGUGAUACCGAAGUACAUGAAGAGAUGGCGAUCCGACAGAGACGCGAUGAUUAGAGACAGAGACUCAUCAAUCUGAUACUCUCAUAACUUCCAUUGAUGGUAGACCUCAAAUUACGCAGGAGAGGAUGAACCCUAUAGUUUUACGGCAGCUACAUAGUGAAGGUGCUACAUGGGCCAAAGUUGUGUUUGUUUGUCAGCCCAAAUAACUAUACUAAAAUCUUCUUAAAUAAUUGUCAAAAUCGAGAAAUUGUACUUUGAGUGAGACAAGUGUCACUCUCUCAUUGCUCUAUUUAAUGAUGUGGCAUCACUAGGAAUGAGACAAAAUCUUCUUAAUUAGAAUCUUAUAGUUUUACGGCAUCUACAUAAUGAAUGUGCUACAUAUGCCAAAAUUGUGUUUGUUUGUCAGCCCAAAUAACUAUACUAAAACCUUCUUAAAUAAUUAUCAGAAUCGAGAAAUUGUAAUUUGAGUGAGACAAAUGUCACUCUCUCCUUGCCCUAUUUAAUGAUGUGACAUCACCAGGAAAGAGACAAAGUCUUCUUAAUUAAAAUCUUAUAGUUUUACGGCCGCUACAUAGUGAAAGUGCUACAUGGGCCAAGAUUGUGUUUGUUUGUCAACCUAAAUAACUAUACUAAAACAUUCUUAAAUAAUUAUCAAAAUCGAGAAAUUGUAAUUUGAGUGAGAUAGGUGUCACUCUCUCUUUGCCUUAUUUAAUGAUGUGGCAUAACCAGGAAAGAGACAAAAUCUUCUUAAUUAGAACUCUAUAGUUUUACAAUCGCUACAUAGUGAAACACUACAAGAAAACGUAUCUUUACCGAGGAAGUUUAACGAGGAAAAAUAAUCCUCGUAAAAAAACGUUGAUUUUGCGAGGAAAGUACGUUGAGAAAGAAAAGCAUCGUUAUUUCGUCGUAAGUUAACGACAAAAAAUAUUCGUCGUAAAGACGAUGUAAAUUGACGUGGCUUUUACGAGGAAAUAGUUUUUCCUCGUAAAAUCCACGUAAAUUUCGCGAGUGCUUUACGACGAAAUAUUUUACGUGUACUUAACGAGGAAAUUUUGAAUCCACCAACUUGGUAGGUGGCUCACGUUUUUUUUUGGCCAUACAAUUAAUUUUCGUCGUAAUUUCAUAGUAAAAUUACAACUACCAGAUUCGAAAUUUUCUAUAAAUAUGGAUGUUGGAACAUCAUUUUAAACACACCAACAACAAAAAACGUGAAAGAAAAAAAAAUGGCUGGCUCUGGGACUAUUUACGAGUUGCGGAAUUGGAUGUAUAUGCAUAGAGAUGCUAACGGGAGAGUGACGAAAGAAUACCUUGCGGGGCUGGAGACAUUUAUGCACCAAGCAGAUUCAACACCGCUCGCCCAAGAAAGUGGUAAGAUGUUCUGUCCUUGUCGGAAAUGCAACAAUUCGAAAUUGGCAAACCGUGAAAAUGUUUGGAAGCAUUUAAUAAAUAGAGGUUUCACGCCAAAUUACUAUAUCUGGUUUCAACAUGGGGAAGGUUAUAAUUAUGAUCAGAAUGAAGCUAGUAGUAGUAAUAGCAAUUUUCAGGAAGAACCGGUUAAUCAUCAUUUGCAUAAUGAACAUAGUUACCAUCAGGAGGAGAUGGUAGAUUAUGAUAGGGUUCAUGAUAUGGUAGCUGAUGCAUUCGUAGCUCAUGAUGAAGAUGAAGAACCUAAUAUAGAUGCAAAAAAGUUUUACGGAAUGUUAAACGCGGCGAAUCAACCACUUUACAGUGGUUGUAGAGAAGGUCUCUCUAAAUUGUCGUUGGCUGCUAGAAUGAUGAAUAUUAAAACUGAUCACAAUCUACCUGAAAGUUGCAUGAACGAAUGGGCGGACUUGUUUAAAGAGUAUUUGCCGGAAGACAAUGUGUCUGCUGAUUCUUAUUAUGAGAUUCAGAAAUUAGUUUAUAGUCUUGGGUUGCCUUCGGAGAUGAUAGAUGUCUGCAUCGACAACUGCAUGAUCUAUUGGGGAGAUGAUGAGAAGCUAGAAGUAUGUCGAUUCUGCAAGAAGCCACGAUUCAAGCCGCAAGGACGGGGACGUAAUAGGGUACCGUACCAAAGGAUGUGGUACCUACCAAUUACAGACAGAUUGAAAAGAUUGUAUCAAUCAGAGCAGACUGCUGCAAAGAUGAGAUGGCAUGCCGAGCAUACUCAGACGGAUGGUGAGAUGACUCAUCCAUCAGAUGCAAGAGCCUGGAAACAUUUCAACAAAGUACAUCCGGAUUUUGCUAGCAAUAGCCGGAAUGUGUAUCUCGGAUUAUGCACAGAUGGAUUUAGUCCGUUCGGAAUGUCAGGGAGACAAUAUUCAUUGUGGCCAGUCUUUCUUACGCCAUACAACCUGCCACCGGAGAUGUGCAUGCAACGGGAGUUGCUAUUCUUGACGAUAUUGAUACCUGGUCCGAACCAUCCAAAAAGGUCCCUGGAUGUUUUCUUACAACCACUGAUAAAAGAGUUGAAGGAUUUGUGGUCAACAGGGGUGAGGACGUAUGACUGUUCAACGAAGACGAAUUUUACGAUGCGAGCUAUGCUUUUGUGGACCAUAAGUGACUUUCCUGCAUAUGGGAUGUUGUCUGGAUGGACUACACAUGGGAGAUUAGCUUGUCCAUAUUGUAAUGGAACGACAGAUGCGUUUCAACUGAAGAAUGGUAGGAAGACAAGUUGGUUUGAUUGUCAUCGUCGAUUUCUUCCCAUUGGCCAUCCUUACCGAAGAAACAAGAAUUUGUUUAGGCACAAAAGGGUUGUGAGAGACACUUCUCCACCAUAUCUAACUGGAGAACAAAUUGAAGCACAAAUCGACUACUACGGAGCUAACGAAACAGUUCGUUGGGGUGGUAAUUGGCAUGUCCCUCGUAAUAUGCCUGAUUCUUACGGUGUUCAUCACAACUGGCACAAGAAGAGUAUAUUUUGGGAGUUGCCAUAUUGGAAGGAUCUUCUUCUGCGCCACAACCUCGAUGUGAUGCAUAUAGAGAAGAAUUUCUUUGAGAACAUCAUGAUUGAUGUAUUUGACAUCCUUCUCAUUGAUCCGCAUAAUCACGAAUACGAAGAUCUUACCGAUGAUGCCACAGACGAAGCUGUAGAAGACGAGUUUAAUGAAAAUGAUGAUAUUUCUAGUGAUGACGAGAAUGUCGAUGUAUCCGAUUGAUGUAUUUGAUUUUGUGUAGUUUGUUUUAUGAAUAAGGUAAUGUGAGAGUUUGUUUUAUGAAUAAGGUAAUGUGGGAGUUUGUUUUAUGAAUAAGAAAUUGUGGGAGUUUGUUUUAUAAAUAAGUAAAUGUGGGAAUUGUGGUUUGGAAUGAAAAUAAAGAUGGGGUUUGGAAUAUAUGAAGUAGAAGAUAAGGAAUAUGGGUUUUGGGGUUUGGGGUUUCGGAUUUUAGGGAAUUAAAGGUACUGCUCGUUAAUUCCUCGUAACCUGACGUCGAAUGUACGACGUAAUCCUCGUUUAUUCCACGUAGGACAGAAUCGUCGUAAAGACCUCGUAAUGUAAAUUGACGUAAAUGCCACGUAAAGUAAAUGACGAAGGAGGAACUCGUUUAUUCCACGUAGGAAAGAAUCGUCGUAAACACCUCGUAAGGUAAAUUGACGUAAAUACCACGUAAAGUAAAUGACGAAGAAGGCACUCUUUAAUUCCACGUAGGAUGAUUUCGUCGUAAACACCUCGUAAGGCCACGAGGACUUUACGACGAAAUUAAAAAAGCGGGGCACGCUAAUUCCACGUAGGAUGAUUUCGUCGUAAACACCUCGUAAGGCCACGAGGACUUUACGACGAAAUUAAAAAAGCGGGGCACGCUAAUUCCACGUAAGCCAAAAUCGUCGUAAAAGAGUCGUAAACUAACGACGAUAUUACGACGAAAAUAUUAAAAAUACUAAAAAAAAGAAGAGAAGAAAGAUGCUUGAAUCACAUUUGGCGAGACUUACGUAAGUCUCGACCACAUGAGUUCCAAAUAUCUUCUUCUCUUCUUUUUUUUUCCAAAUUUUCUAAAUUGGUGAAAAGCGGGACUUGCUACUUCCUCAUAGUAUAAAAACUAGAAAAAAAAAAAAAGAAAGAUACUGGAAUUAUAUGUGGCGAGACUUAAGUCUCACCCACAUAAAUUCUAAUAUCUUCUUUUCUUCUUUUUUUUUUCAAAUAUUUCUAAUUUGAAAAGUAUUUUGGUGAGGAGUGUGAUUUGAGAUAGGGUGUGUUUUGUGAGUUUGUGUGUGUGGUUUGAGAAGGAAAGUUGUGGGUAUUUAUAGAAAAUAAAGGCUCGCUAAUUCCUCGUAACUGGUUAACUCGUUAAUUCCACGUAACCCUUUUCGUCGUAAAAACGUCGUUAACGAAAACGCGGGCCUUUGUAUUUCGUCGCUAUUUCGUCGUAACUGAAAACGCGGGCCUCUGUAAUUCCUCGUAAGUUUACGAGGAAUUUACGAGGACAAGUAAUCUUAUAUAUAUCCCGAGCGAGCUCGCUCCGUCUUUCCUCUCUACUUCCUCUCCACUUCCUCCCUAAUUCGUAGCAAUGGUAAGUCUCUCUAAUUCCUCUCUAGUUUGAUUAGUUUAGGAUAGAUUAGGUGGUUAGUAUAGGGAAUUUAGAUAGGUUUACGGAUCUUAUGUUAUUUAGUGUUGAUUAGGUGGAUAAUGUUGGGAAGUAUAUGUUCACGAAAAUUUAAAAAAUUAAAUUUUUUUCUCAGGUUCGAAAAGGUAGACUUACUGCCCAUUACAGAGAGAUGUGUUGGUGAGCCGGGUAGUCGUUUAGACCCGUCGUCUUCUUCAGCUCCCGGUUCUUCGGGUCAGGAGACUGUCCCCGAGACUCAGUACACUCAGAGAGUCAUUGGAUCUCCUUCUUCUAGUGCACCAUCGGUUCUUCACGUGCCUCCCCAGAUGCCUCCUCCUCCUCCUGUGCCUCCUACGAUGCCGGCACCUCCGAUGCCCGCGGCGAGAUUCAUCCCGAUUUGAUGGUGCCUCCGAGUGCUCCUUACUCGCAGUACACCGUAGAGGACAUUCUCCGUCUGCCAGGCAGAGAAGGUUUACCAGUCAUCGACCCCGACCGACCGGACGGAACUUUAUGGUAUGUUUCAUUAUUUUUUUAUUCUUUUUAAAUUCUUUUAUAACUUUAAAAAAUAAUUUAUAUUUUAAAUUUGUAUUUUUCAGGUGGGGGAUUGACGGAUGUCUUGCAUCGGACGUAACCGAUACGAUAAAAGGUUACUUCUCCAUGGCACAUCCGAACUGGAAAAUGACGCCCCACUACGUCAGAAAGACGUGGUUCAAAAUUUACGCUGUAAGUUCUAUUAAUUAAAUAUAUAUCUUUAAAUUUUUUUAUUAUUUAUAUAUAUAUUUUUUUCUAAAAAACUAAUUAUAAAUUAUUUUUUCCAACAGCAAAAAUAUAAUUGGGCCUUGGGGAUCACUGAGAGGGUGAGAAAGAAGUUUGAAGCGAAGGCGAAAGUUCGCUUGUUGGACACGGUCUCCAACUGGAAGGGUGACUGGAUCGUGAAGGGGUAUGAGCGUGGCAAACCCGCUGAGCUCACCACGGAUGUCUGGGAUGGCCUCAUCCGAUAUUGGCGUCUUCCUGAUUCCAUUAGAAUCGCCCAGUCUUGCUCUAACUCCCGUAACACAGUCGAUGAGCACGGGAACGGGCCGAUGCUUCACACUACGGGCCAAAAACCCCACGCCGGUGUCCGUUUGGAAAUGGUAAUUAAAAAUUUAAUUAUAUUAAAUUUUUAGUAUAUUUUUAUAUAUAUUCUAAUUAACAACUUUCUUAAAUGUUUUUUUAGGCCAAAGAGACGGGAGAAUUCCCGUCUCUUAUGCAACUUUACGAGAGGACCCACAAGAACAAGGCGGGCCGAUUUAUAGAUGGCAAGUCCGAGCAAAUCUACAACGAUUUGGCUGCUCGGGUUGAAGAACGCCAGACCCAGCUGACCCAACAGUCCACCGAUGGAUUACCCGUCACCUUAUCCACACCUGAAGUGGAUAAGCUUUACGAGGAGGUAAAUUUUCUAAAAUUUUAAUUUUUUUAAAUAUUCAUUUAAUUUAACUUUAAAUUUUUACUAACAAAAUUUAUUUUUUGUUUUUAAGGUUGUCCCUAAAAAAAAGGGACGGACGUUGGGGAUUGGUUCCGUCAACGAUGUUCCGAGAGCGACAUCGUCUUAUGUUCAGCGACGGGAUGAGGAAGUCUCUCAGCUGCGUAGGGAGUCCGAAGAGCUGCGUAGAGAGUCUACUCAGCUGCGUAUAGAGUCUACUCAGCUCCGAUCUCGUAUGGGUGGACUCGAGGGCUUCUUGGACGUUGUAGCGGCCACAAAUCCGGAAUGGGCGACUUUGUUGAGGACCAUGCGACAACAAAAUCCUAUCCCAGGCCAGUCACCGACCGACGACUCACAUGCCGAGGCGGAUGUUCAGGCGAGGAGUGAUGAAUUCUACGAGGCGAUUAAUUAACGACCACCCUUAGUUCUUUUUAAUUUCGGUUAUUGUAUUAUGAAUUCAAAACUUAUUUCUAUAUAAAAUAUUUUGGUUUUGAUUUUUUUAGAAUUUUAAUUUUAUUAAUAAUUUAAAUUAUAUUUAUAAUUAUAUUUAUAAUUAUAAUUUUUUAUAUUUCUAUAAAAUAAUGAAACGAAGUAAAUUCGUAGCUAAUUUUGCGGCUUCUUUACGUGGAAGCUUAACGUGGUUUUUACGAGGAAACAUUUACAUGGAAAUAACGUGGAAAUCUAUCAAGGUUUUUACGUUUUCUUUACGUGGAAAGCUCUCAAGGUAUUUACGUUAAUUUUACGAGUAUUUAUUUACGUGGGUUUUACGAGGAAAGCUUUUCGUGGUAUUUACGAGGAAACUUAGCGACGUCCUUACGUGGAAUCUUUACGUGGUCUUUACGACGAAAUAUCCUCCUUCGCUUUUACGACGAAAUUAUUUCCUCGCUAACUUACGACGAAUUAGCGAGGAUAUAUGCGUUACGACAAACGUAUAACGACGAAACGCGUUUCCUCGCUAAUUCGUCGUAACACUGCUUUUACGACGAAGUAACGAGGAAAACUGCCCUCGUAAAACUUGUGUUUUCUUGUAGUGAAAGUGCUACAUGGGCCAAGAUUGUGUUUGUUUAUCAGCUCAAAUAACUAUACUAAAACCUUUUUAAAUAAUUAUUAUAACCGAAAAAUUGUAAUUUGAGUGAGACAGAUGUCACUUUCUCCUGGCAUCACCAGAGAGAGACAAAGUCUUCUGACCGUAAGAUUUAUGUCCUUAACAAGAUGUAACUUUCAAUCCGACAUAAUUUUGUCAUAUGGCCUUUACCUAAUAAGUUCGUAGUAGUAUUUGCUAAGAAAACAUAAUCUAAUGGACAACUUUAUCAAUGGUAUAAAGGAUCCAACUGAAUAAAGGAGAAUGGAUUAGUAAAAGCCUCUAAUUAAAACAAAGAAGAAAUUAAGAACGAAUAGUAGUAAUUAAAUAGAAGAAAAUCCUAAUAAAUCAAAGAAUUCAUGCUACAAGAUCCAUCAUCGCUCAUCAGAUUUUGUCUUGAUGGUCGAUUCCAAGGGUUUUGAACGUAAAAUAACGCAAAUCUUCGAGAAGAGCACAAAAGAGACCAUGCCCCAGCCACUUUUGAUUAGAAACCUCAACACAGCAAGGCCCGGGUUGGUUUGGUUCUGAGCUUAAUUGUCGUUAGGUGUUGAUGCGCCACAAAGGAAGUAGAACAAGAAAAGAAGAACUUUGUGAUCUGACGCAGCAACUUUGAAUUCAUUAAGUUGCCAAUCUCGAAUAUGUUUCUUGUAAGGGAAGGACGAAACUAGAAACACAAUGAUGGUCACAAUGAAUGGUAACACGAUCAUAAAAUCAAGAGGAUCUUCCUGCUCCUUCAAGAGUUUAACCAAAGCCUCGAUCAUCGUUCGAGAGAGCCUUCCCUUUGUAAAAUACUGAUGGCCCUUUUAUAUGAUUUAACUGAAUAGUUAUUACCAUAUAUCCGGUGAAAUUAUCUUUAUGACAAAAGUUAUAUUGCCAAAUCUAUUAUGUAAGGGAAAUUAAUAACUCUAGAAUAAAAAAUGUAAACUAACAAAACCCAAAACGAAAAGAAGAAAUACUUAAUAUGAAUAAAAAUGUAAAUUAAUAACACCCUAAACGAAAAACUAAAUAUUGUAAAUUAAUAUAACUCCUAAAUAAAAAAAAUGUGAACUAAUAAAUAAUGUAAAUUAACAUAAUCCUGGAUAAGAAAAUCCAGCUCUUGUUUCUUUGUUUUAUUUUUCUUACAAGUCAUAUUCUUCUUGUUGGUUGUGUUUGUAUACUCAGUUCUGUUGUAGAUCUCUCAGUCUCAGUUGUUAUAUUAAGUUGACUUGAUUAUUGGCGUAGCUUUCACGUUUAGCUAUGAUUGUGCUAGAAAUGCCCACAGAUGUCAAGGGAUAAGUCAGAGAUGAGUUUUGGGAUUUGUAUAAGAAUUGCUUCCACCAGAGAGACCUGGAAGGAAGUCUACGGUUCUGUAUCGUCCAAAGCCACCACCAGCUCCAAAGCUUAAGAACAAUAAUAAACAUAGACGAAACCAGCAUUGAACUAACUUUGUGAGAGAAAUUCACUGUUGUGUUAAUUAGUGUUCUUUUGGCCUAAAGUAGUGCACUUAGAUUCACUCAGAAAAAAAUGAUCCUCUCAAAGUCAAAUCAAUAGAAGGAUUAUGUGUUAAAAAAAAAAACAUAAUCCUGGAUAAGAAAAUGUAAAUUAAUAACACUGGAAAUAGUGUACAGCCAAAACAAUCACAGAUCAAAGGACCAAAGUGGUUAAAAAUCAGACACAAAACUCUUUUCUCUCACAUUUUAAUGUUUACACUUUUCUUCUAGUUAAAUAGUGUUCCUGGGUCUUCAAUUUGGGAGCUGUUCGAGAAAGACAUUACAGUUGUUCAUGGUUCUGGCGUCAAGAAGGCCAUGGUUCCACAGUUUAACCAUAAACAUUCUCCAG